UCAUAUGUUACUUCAAAUGAUUAUUUUGAAGGAAUAGCUCUUUUGUAUAGAUAUUUGAAAGAUGCGGUCAAUGCUUCGGAUCCUAGGCUUCAUGAUAUGGGUGUGAAAAUGAAAGAAAAAUUUGAUAAAUAUUAUGGAAGCUUGGAUAAAGUGAAUAUGAUGGUCUUGAUUGCGGUUGUGUUAGAUCCUAGAGCUAAGUUGAAUUAUGUGACUUUCUUGUAUGCACAAAUUUAUGAUGAUGAAUUGAAAGUUAAAGAGAUGCAUUACAAGGUGAAGGAUGCAUUGGAGCGUUUAUAUGAAUUUUAUGAGCAAUCUUCUCUUAUUUCAAGUGAUCGAAAUUUUGGUGGCCAUAGUUCGGGUGCAAGUAGUAGUGCUUCUAAUGUCGAUUCGGGUGGUAGUGAAGGAAUAAAGAAGUAUGAUGGACAAGCUUGGAAGAAAAUGUUUUUAUACUCGAAUGAACAAGGGUGUGAUGACAACAAGUCCGAGCUUGAUCAAUAUCUUCAAGAGAAAAAUGAAAAGAAUCUUGAUAUUGACCUUUUGAUGUGGUGGAAGACUAAUGACUCAAAAUAUAAGAUCCUUUCUUUGAUGGCUCGAGAUAUUUUGUCCAUUCCUAUAACUACCGUUGCUUCCGAGUCAACUUUUAGUGCAUCGGGUCGUGUUCUUGAUGGUUUUCGAAGUUCUUUUACUCCCAAAGUAGUGGAAGCUUUGAUUUGCACUCAAGAUUGGUUGAGAGUCGUUCGUGUACCGAUUAAUGUUGAGGAGUGCAUCGAGAAUGCAGAAAAAUUUGAGUUGGAUAUGGAUGGUCUUAAUGGGGAGAUUAGCGCUGGUAAAUAGAGUUUAUCACUGGGAGGAUGCCUUGCAUUGAAAAGAGCAAUAGGUCUUAUGCGGGCCAAGUGAAGGUGCUGAUGGAGAAGUUAGAAAUCAUGAUAAAGCUUGGUGAGUUCCUGAAAUAUUGACCAAGCAUGGAAACUGAAGAGCAUUGUUACGUAGGAUGAGAAGUUUAUGAUUUGGUACUCAGGCCAAGAGGAAAAUCAAUUGAGACUAAGCUCAGUUACUGAAGUUAUUCGUCGACAGAGGACUGUAAAUUUUCAGAAGCAACUUCAACCAGACAGGGAGGCACAGUCAUUUUCUCUCAUCUAUGCUGAUGGUAAACGCUCAAUUGAUCUGAUUGAGAAAGGUGACACUGGAGCAGAUAUCAUGGCACUUUUUUCUUAUUGUGCUGAUAGAUGUCGAGAUGUGACUGCCGGUUUCUGUUGUAAAUUUUCUGUAUAUAUAAAUGACAUAGCUACUGAAAAGGUUUAAAUGCCUAUUAGUUUGAUUUUGAAGCUUUAUGCCUCUUGACUCUGGCACUUCUAUAUCCUCUGAGGAGAGAGGCGAUGAGACUUAUUUUGUGUCUUACUUAAGUGCAUUGAAAUUUUUGUGUCAGCUGCUUGCUGAAUUGAUAAACUCAGAAAGGAAACACAUAAUUGCU
RNA transcript from Eucalyptus grandis, 1471 nucleotides. It is a transcript of the gene named PH, RCC1 and FYVE domains-containing protein 1, with no coding region annotated. NCBI's taxonomy places the organism in Eukaryota, Viridiplantae, Streptophyta, Magnoliopsida, Myrtales, Myrtaceae. The transcript is spliced from 7 exons. The record is from RefSeq and is a predicted model, not a curated record.